GACAGAAAUCAUGACAGUAAUAUUUUUCCAAUUAUUUUUACAAUUAUUUUUCUUCAUUAUUUUUAAUUUCAGGUUUAUUCAAGUUACAAGGUUAGGUUAGUUACAAGGAUACAACUUAUAGAAAAUAAAUAUUUUUCAGGUAAUAUUCUGAACAUAUUUAUAAUACUUCUAUUUCUCAUACUAUAAAUAGGUCUUACACAUUACAACACAAGUAGUUGUCUUUACUAGAGGGCGAAAAAAUAAAUAAAUCUGGAAAUCUGUGGCAACAAAAUUUGAAAAUACCUCCUUUAGAGUAAAAAAUAAACCCCAGCGUACACGGGUAAACCAAUUAAAUCUAGUCAAAGCUUUGUCUUUUAUUCAGGUGCUCAUGACCUUCUUGGAGUGAAAGCAACUAUAGCAAACAACAGAUCUUCUAAAAAAACUUCUAAAGCACUGAAAAAUUUUCAAACACACUGACUGUGCCACAUGACUCCUAAAAAAAAAAAAGUGUUGACUAGGCUGAAUUGUUUAAAUAAAAAACUGCUUGUUCCCAUGCCAGAGCCCAAUGUGCCACUAAGAAGUCCAAGAGAAUUUCAGUUCCCAGAUAUGAGUCCUAUAAACGUUGAUCCCCGACACCACAACCGAUGCGCUACAGAAAUAAAAUCUCUUAUUAGAGCCCAGACCCUGAAAUUACCCAAAUUCAGCGCACAUGGAAAUCAUAAGACAGCGUCAGCAAGGGAGAAGUUUGCACCAAGUGGCUUUUCAGCAUGUGGCAACAGAGGGCCGGGCAUUUCAAAAGUGCCAAUUAGUUCCCCCUGCCAGAAUGAAGUAGGUAAGAGGGUGGAAGAGGAAGAUGCCAAAUUAUACUGACACAAACAAAACUGCUAGAAAUACCCAAGGAUCCAGUAUACAACUGUAUAUCUUGCUUAGACGGCAUCUCCUAUGGUUUCAUGCUCAUUAAUUAAUGACAGCAACUAUGACACGUACAUUAUUAAUGUAAAACAUGCAGACCUAGAGUAAAUGUAUCCAGAAAAUUCAUGGUUACUAUAUUUCUUAUUUUAGCAGGUCACAAUGCUCAGCUGCAUCUGAAAUUCGGCCAACAAUUCAGCAAAUCAACAAAUACGUGCCUGUGAUCCACUCACACGUGUGGCAUUAUCAGUUCAUCUUAAUGCCAGUCAAAAUAUAGACCACACAUUUUCUCCAGCCAGCCUUUAGCCUCAGGAGUCAUUCUGUCUUUAUGAGCAAAACCAGAACUGACAGAAUACUAAACUAAUUACAUGGACCGAACGAAGAGUUGUAUCAGAAGACAGCACAGGAUCAAGAAAAUGAUGUUGUCCCUGGUCAAAUUAUUCCAGACUUCUGAUGCAAUUGCAUACAAUUUGCUCAUGAGUUUUUCCAGAUCGUUCAAUAUUGCUGACAAGCUUCAUGCACACUUUGAUAUUCUUGAUAUAUGCUUGUUUGUUUUUAAUAAAUAAAAACUCUGGAUGGUUGAAACCCUCGCCUGCAGUGCUCACGUAUGGUCAUGUAUAUUAUAGGCUCCCUUCUUAAAAUAACUCCUGACGGACAGAAUUGCUGUGUAGAAGGACCUGGGAAAGGGCAACAAAACCGGAGUAACAAAUAAUGCAUGUCUAUAGCAUAACAAGAGUGGCAUUGUUCUGCUGGCGCCCCACUGCAUAAAUGAAGUUAAAGGGACAGUUCACUCAAAAAUUAAAAGUCUAUCAUCAUUUAUUCACCCUCAUGUUGUUGUAAACCUGCAUGACUUCCUUUCUUCCACAACAGGAGCUGUAAGGCACAAUGUCUUGACUGACACACACAUGAAAAAUAUGCAGUGAAAGUGAGUAACUGUGAAUGCCAAACAUCUCCCUUUGUUUUACAUGGAAAAAAUAAAAGUCGUACAUGUUUUGAGUUGUUACAACAUUGAGUAAAUGAUGACAGGAUUUUGAUUUUUGGCUGAACUUGCCUUUUAACGCGCGUGAGCGUUCUCAUGUAAAUCUCACUGACACGUUUCUUUGAAGCCCCACCAAAAAUAUCGCCAAAACAGGUCAAAUAAUACUUUAUAACAGAGCGGUACGGAUAUAAGAGUUGGUUUGAGCUGCACUGUGAAAUAUUACGAUUUGGAAACGUAAAAUAAAUAAAUAAAUAAACCUCAUUAUAGCAAACAUAGCGAUGUUUGAUUAUAAUGCGAUUAGAACAGAACUCAGCAGACAUCGUCUUUAAAGGCAGCCUACGGCUUUUUGUUAAAAAACAGAAAAAAAGAAGAAAAAAAAAGACCACUAUGUUUGUAUAAUAUAUCUAUGUGGGAGUGUGCGUUUCAAAAUAUGCACGCUCAUCAACCGACGGUGGCAUCUUCUUUAAAAAAAAAUGUACUAAAUCUUAUCCAUGUACGUGUUUGGAAUUAAUUUCUUAACGCCUUUUUCAUAAUCACACCGGACUGAACCAGUUCAAAUAUAUGCAUAAGUAAACAAAACACUGAUUGCACAACACUAAUAUGUGGCAUAUUUUAUAUAAGAUAAAGCAUCUUAUGAUAAGUGAGCUCGCGCACGGGCAGCUUAGUGAUAGAAGAAUGUCCCGCGACACUUGCUCUGUAUGUGUAUGUAUUUUACCAGAGAAUAUGCGCUGUGCAAUACAGAUUACCUGUGGUCAAUAGUUCAACUUCAUUAUCUAGUUCGAUUACAUGACAGAACUACGUUACAUUGCGCCCUGCACUUGCUCCUAAUCAAGCGCUUGACAAGAAAUUGAGACCACGAGGCACUAAAAUGAGACUUACAGCGACAAAAUAUGCACUCCGAUCUGGCUAUAUGGGUGUGUUUUGGUGACCUCUCAGAAAUUGCCCAGCAGUAGCUGAACCAGUUAAACGCUCACUUAAAGGCUGGCUAAGAAAUGGAAAGCAGAAUCCUCUUGAGAGGAACUAUUGUAACAUUUCGGGCCUCCAGACCAAAUAUGUGAGGAAAAAAUGUAGAACAAAAGGCUGGGAAAUGGAAUGGAGGCCCACUGACAAGAAAAGAAAAGCAGUCUUCGUGGUGUGCUGGGGGUCUUGUUUCCCAGACAAGUAAACGGGUAACCAAAUCUCUUUGUGGGUGAAGUCAGGGGGUCUCCAGUGUGACUGCAUUGAUCUGCAAUCUGCAAGACAGAAAGAAGAGAACAGAAGCCUGGCCCCGCCACACAUGGGAGACUUAUCACAGGCCCGCAGAUGGUCCAUUUCCAAAUCAAGCAGUCGAUGCCUUUACACUUCGAUUUUUUCCAUUUCAUGAGAACACAAAUGUUAAUGGAGGCAUUGCCAGUAAUUAUCACGAUGCCAGUCUUGAAGAUGCCAUUACUGUGGACAACAUAAAAAGUAACCUUAAAGAUCACACGUAAAUUAGUUUUUCAAAUGCUUUGUAUUUAAAUGAUUUAAUCAUGUAUGUUGGUUCAACACUAAUGCAAUUGAAAAAAAAUAUAUUUGGUUUAACGUUUGUCAGAAAAACAAUUUGUUCUCAACAUAAUGGAAUAAAGUUAUUUUAAGUGAUCCAGUUAAGUAUGCCCAGUAUGAUUCAUUUCCUAAGCUGUUUGUGUCUAACUCAGUUAUAUUAGGCCUAAAACCCUAUGCUAGAUACCUAUCAAUAGCACACUUCAGCAUACUAAAUGUAAAACAGCCAUUGCUCAUGUAUUAACACAACUAACAACAUACCGUUCCUGUAACUGACCUCAACAGUGUUCCUACUGCACAAAAAAUAGAGCAUGGUACUAAAAACACAUAAUAGGUUUGAUUUCCAAGAAAUCCAAGCUAUAAUGAAAUGUGCACCUUGUGUGUAAUGUAACUUACUCUAGAUAAAAGUGUAUACCUAAGCAAAAGCUCGAUUCUUCCUCACAAUGAUAAUGCUUGGUACAGAAUGGUACAGAAACUGUUGUAAAUCCCGACAUACCUGGAUAUGAAACACUACCAAGGCUCAUCUUUAUCAAAAUCUUUCCAUUAAAUGUGCACUAAGCGAUUUCUGAGAAAUGCUGUUGAAAAUUGAAAUCAACACCUAAACAAACAAUUUUGUGAAUAUUUGCUAGAUGUUUGUUCUGUGUGUGUGCUUGGCUGUGAAAACAGGAGAAAAAACAAAGUGGACUGGACUGACCAAAACACUCUUGUAGCCAAUCAGCAAUAGUGAGCAACAGCCAAUAAGCAAGCAGGACAUUUGUAGAAAGACUGUAGAAAGACAGAUGGCUAAAAAAUAUUACCAAAAAGGAAAAGGUCAGAGGAAUAUAAUUAGAAGAAGAAGGGUUAUGAUCAGACAAGAGCUAGGACCCGCGUUAUAUGUAUUUUUCUGACUGCUAAAACAUAAAAAUAGCAUAAUAUUUUUGUAGAUAUUUAAGAAACAUGCUAAGUUCACAUACUUGUUUCUCUGGAAAACAAUGCUACAGCCAGUUGUUUUACUUUGAAAUAUGAAUUCUGUGUCGGAAUGUCUGUUUUUGUUUUGGUCUGUGUGGUUCCGCCCACUGCCGAUUUUCCCAAUAGUAACUCCCCGGGUUGCCAGUUGGUGGAAAAUAAAACAUAUUGCUGCCAACAAUGAAGAUCGAAGAUUCCACCAGACCUAAAAAGCCUUGGCAUCCAUCUAAAAAUCUAUAUGAAGCAUAUUAAGAGCAUAUUAAAAUGCAGAUAAUUCAACUUACACUGUGUUCAACUUACAGUGAUAAAUCAACUUACAAUGAGCCUCCUCGCCUUCCAUUGUCAAUUGCGCUCCCUCUUGUUGCAUAUCCUCAAUCUGGCAACCCGCUUGAGCGUCAAGUCUGAGGAGGAGGGGGCUGGGGAAACAACUCUAUCCAACAUUUUGCAGUACCCAUUUCAACCACUAUUUAUACCUUUAAUAUUGAAAAAGCUUUAAUAUUAGAAUGACAAGGUACCUUUGUUUCUGCUCAAUACAUGAGUAACAUUAUAUGCUGUUGUUGUUGAAUUAGGACAGUUUCAUAUCUUGACACAAGUGGAUGAAGCAAAGUUGAAUUUUACAGAUUCAAGUUAAGAAU
Molecule: long non-coding RNA, 4965 nt
Organism: Megalobrama amblycephala (Wuchang bream)
Lineage: Eukaryota; Metazoa; Chordata; Actinopteri; Cypriniformes; Xenocyprididae
Exons: 3
Source: RefSeq, a predicted model, not a curated record